Molecule: small nucleolar RNA, 140 nt
Organism: Neoarius graeffei (lesser salmon catfish)
Lineage: Eukaryota; Metazoa; Chordata; Actinopteri; Siluriformes; Ariidae
Product: small nucleolar RNA SNORA57
Exons: 1
Source: RefSeq, a predicted model, not a curated record
UCUCUACUGCUGGGCGUUCCUAUGCUUGUUGAGUGCAUAUGUACGUGUUCAGUGGAGAAAGAGAAAAGCCAGAGCUAUGCCUUCAGUACUAGUGUGUGUGAUUUUGUCUGCUAGUACUAUUCUCACCUGCUGGCACAUGU